RNAcentral lists this ribosomal RNA (449 nucleotides) under uncultured bacterium. RNAcentral describes it as "partial 16S ribosomal RNA". It matches the Rfam family "Bacterial small subunit ribosomal RNA", at positions 29 to 523 of the family's 1533-position model. The record is from RNAcentral.
AACGAACGCUGGCGGCAUGCCUAACACAUGCAAGUCGAACGAGAUCUUCGGAUCUAGUGGCGCACGGGUGCGUAACGCGUGGGAAUCUGCCCUUGGGUUCGGAAUAACAGUGAGAAAUUACUGCUAAUACCGGAUGAUGUCUUCGGACCAAAGAUUUAUUGCCCAGGGAUGAGCCCGCGUAGGAUUAGCUAGUUGGUGGGGUAAUGGCCUACCAAGGCGACGAUCCUUAGCUGGUCUGAGAGGAUGAUCAGCCACACUGGGACUGAGACACGGCCCAGACUCCUACGGGAGGCAGCAGUGGGGAAUAUUGGACAAUGGGCGAAAGCCUGAUCCAGCAAUGCCGCGUGAGUGAUGAAGGCCUUAGGGUUGUAAAGCUCUUUUACCAGGGAUGAUAAUGACAGUACCUGGAGAAUAAGCUCCGGCUAACUCCGUGCCAGCCGCCGCGGUAA